This 229-nucleotide ribosomal RNA is filed under the name uncultured bacterium. Its description in RNAcentral is "partial 16S ribosomal RNA". It matches the Rfam family "Bacterial small subunit ribosomal RNA", at positions 111 to 334 of the family's 1533-position model. The record is from RNAcentral.
UAACACGUAAAGAACCUGCCUCAUAGACUGGGACAACUAUUGGAAACGAUAGCUAAUACCGGAUAACAGCAUUAACUGCAUGGUUGAUGUUUAAAAGUUGGUUUUGCUAACACUAUGAGAUGGCUUUACGGUGCAUUAGCUAGUUGGUGGGGUAAAGGCCUACCAAGGCGACGAUGCAUAGCCGACCUGAGAGGGUGAUCGGCCACACUGGGACUGAGACACGGCCCAG